Molecule: ribosomal RNA, 253 nt
Filed under: uncultured bacterium
Lineage: Bacteria
Description: partial 16S ribosomal RNA
Rfam family: Bacterial small subunit ribosomal RNA
Source: RNAcentral
UACGUAGGUGGCAAGCGUUGUCCGGAAUUAUUGGGCGUAAAGCGCGCGCAGGCGGUCCUUUAAGUCUGAUGUGAAAGCCCACGGCUCAACCGUGGAGGGUCAUUGGAAACUGGGGGACUUGAGUGCAGGAGAGAAGAGUGGAAUUCCUAGUGUAGAGGUGAAAUUCGUAGAUAUUAGGAAGAACACCAGUGGCGAAGGCGGCUCACUGGUCCGGUACUGACGCUGAGGCGCGAAAGCGUGGGGAGCAAACAGG